UGAGGAAUAUUGGUCAAUGGGCGGAAGCUUGAACCAGCCAUCCCGCGUGCAGGAAGACAGCCCUAUGGGUUGUAAACUGCUUUUCCAGUGGGCGAAACACUCGUACGUGUACGAGAUUGACGGUACACUGGGAAUAAGCAUCGGCUAACUCCGUGCCAGCAGCCGCGGUAAUACGGAGGAUGCAAGCGUUAUCCGGAUUUAUUGGGUUUAAAGGGUGCGUAGGCGGAUGAAUAAGUCAGUGGUGAAAGGCUGCAGCUUAACUGUAGACUUGCCGCUGAUACUGUUUAUCUUGAGUAUGGUCAAGGCAGGCGGAAUGUGUAAUGUAGCGGUGAAACGCUUAGAUAUUACACAGAACACCGAUUGCGAAGGCAGCUUGCUGGGCCAUUACUGACGCUGAUGCACGAAAGCGUGGGGAGCGAACAG
RNAcentral lists this ribosomal RNA (423 nucleotides) under uncultured bacterium. RNAcentral's name for it is "bacterial SSU rRNA". It matches the Rfam family "Bacterial small subunit ribosomal RNA", at positions 355 to 775 of the family's 1533-position model. The record is from RNAcentral.